AGUGAACGCUGGCGGUAGGCCUAACACAUGCAAGUCGAACGGCAGCACAGUAAGAGCUUGCUCUUACGGGUGGCGAGUGGCGGACGGGUGAGGAAUACAUCGGAAUCUACUUUUUCGUGGGGGAUAACGUAGGGAAACUUACGCUAAUACCGCAUACGACCUACGGGUGAAAGCAGGGGAUCGUCGGACCUUGCGCGAUUGAAUGAGCCGAUGUCGGAUUAGCUGGUUGGCGGGGUAAAGACCCACCAAGGCGGGGAUAGGUAGCUGGACUGAGAGGAUGAUAGGCCGCCCUGGAGCUGGGACACGGACCAUAGUCCUGCGAGACGGCGCAGUGGGGAAUGUUAGACAACGGGCGCAAACCUUAUCCAGCCGUCCCGCGUGGGUGAAGAAGGCCUCGCGGUUGUGAAGCCCUUUUGUUGGUAGAGAAAAGCUGCCGGUUAAUACCCCGCUGUUCUGACGGUACCCGAUGAAUAAGCACCGGCUAACUACGUG
This 492-nucleotide ribosomal RNA is filed under the name uncultured bacterium. RNAcentral's name for it is "partial 16S ribosomal RNA". It matches the Rfam family "Bacterial small subunit ribosomal RNA", at positions 29 to 507 of the family's 1533-position model. The record is from RNAcentral.